This 380-nucleotide ribosomal RNA is filed under the name uncultured cyanobacterium. Its description in RNAcentral is "bacterial SSU rRNA". It matches the Rfam family "Bacterial small subunit ribosomal RNA", at positions 376 to 770 of the family's 1533-position model. The record is from RNAcentral. Lineage: Bacteria; Bacillati; Cyanobacteriota.
CGAAAGCCUGACGGAGCAAUACCGCGUGCGGGAGGAAGGCCUUUGGGUCGUAAACCGCUUUUAACAGGGAAGAAGUAUCUGACGGUACCUGUUGAAUAAGCCUCGGCUAACUCCGUGCCAGCAGCCGCGGUAAGACGGAGGAGGCAAGCGUUAUCCGGAAUUAUUGGGCGUAAAGCGUCCGCAGGUGCCUUUCAAGUCUGCUGUUAAAGCCCAGGGCUCAAACUCUGUAUCACCAGUGGAAACUGAAAAGCUAGAGUACGUUAGGGAUAGAGGGAAUUCCCAGUGUAGCGGUGAAAUGCGUAGAUAUUGGGAAGAACACCAGUGGCGAAGGCGCUCUGCUGGGCCGUAACUGACACUCAUGGACGAAAGCUAGGUUAGCG